RNAcentral lists this ribosomal RNA (157 nucleotides) under Bipolaris sp. HSAUP074449. RNAcentral's name for it is "5.8S ribosomal RNA". It matches the Rfam family "5.8S ribosomal RNA". Rfam says of the family: 5.8S ribosomal RNA (5.8S rRNA) is a component of the large subunit of the eukaryotic ribosome. Lineage: Eukaryota; Fungi; Ascomycota; Dothideomycetes; Pleosporales; Pleosporaceae. The record is from RNAcentral.
ACAACGGAUCUCUUGGUUCUGGCAUCGAUGAAGAACGCAGCGAAAUGCGAUAAGUAGUGUGAAUUGCAGAAUUCAGUGAAUCAUCGAAUCUUUGAACGCACAUUGCGCCCUUUGGUAUUCCAAAGGGCAUGCCUGUUCGAGCGUCAUUUGUACCCUC